CAGUAGCCACGGUAAAACGGAGGGUGCAAGCGUUAUCCGGAUUUAUUGGGUUUAAAGGGUCCGUAGGCGGACUUAUAAGUCAGUGGUGAAAGCCUGUCGCUUAACGAUAGAACUGCCAUUGAUACUGUAAGUCUUGAGUAUAUUUGAGGUAGCUGGAAUAAGUAGUGUAGCGGUGAAAUGCAUAGAUAUUACUUAGAACACCAAUUGCGAAGGCAGGUUACCAAGAUAUAACUGACGCUGAGGGACGAAAGCGUGGGUAGCGAACAGGAUUAGAUACCCGAGUAGUCCCUGUCUCUUAUAC
This 301-nucleotide ribosomal RNA is filed under the name uncultured bacterium. Its description in RNAcentral is "partial 16S ribosomal RNA". It matches the Rfam family "Bacterial small subunit ribosomal RNA", at positions 509 to 807 of the family's 1533-position model. The record is from RNAcentral.